UAAGGAAUAUUGGUCAAUGGACGCAAGUCUGAACCAGCCAUGCCGCGUGAAGGAUGAAGGUCCUCUGGAUUGUAAACUUCUUUUAUCUGGGACGAAAACGGGAUUUUUAUCUCAAUUGACGGUACCAGAGGAAUAAGCACCGGCUAACUCCGUGCCAGCAGCCGCGGUAAUACGGAGGGUGCGAGCGUUAUCCGGAUUUACUGGGUUUAAAGGGUGCGUAGGUGGGCUUAUAAGUCAGUGGUGAAAUCUCCGAGCUUAACUUGGAAACUGCCGUUGAUACUAAAAGUCUUGAAUUAUCUAGAGGUAAGCGAAAUAUGUCAUGUAGCGGUGAAAUGCUUAGAUAUGACAUAGAACACCAAUUGCGAAGGCAGCUUACUACAUAUAAAUUGACGCUGAGGCACGAAAGCGUGGGGAUCAAACA
RNAcentral lists this ribosomal RNA (421 nucleotides) under uncultured bacterium. RNAcentral's name for it is "bacterial SSU rRNA". It matches the Rfam family "Bacterial small subunit ribosomal RNA", at positions 355 to 774 of the family's 1533-position model. The record is from RNAcentral.